RNAcentral lists this non-coding RNA (107 nucleotides) under Pseudobacteroides cellulosolvens. Its description in RNAcentral is "TPP sequence". It matches the Rfam family "TPP riboswitch aptamer (THI element)". From Rfam's summary of the family: Vitamin B(1) in its active form thiamin pyrophosphate (TPP) is an essential coenzyme that is synthesised by coupling of pyrimidine and thiazole moieties in bacteria. The previously detected thiamin-regulatory element, thi box was extended, resulting in a new, highly conserved RNA secondary structure, the THI element, which is widely distributed in eubacteria and also occurs in some archaea. The record is from RNAcentral. Lineage: Bacteria; Bacillati; Bacillota; Clostridia; Eubacteriales; Oscillospiraceae. RNAcentral also lists the same sequence under 1 other name.
AUUAAUGAAUAGGGGUGCUGGUUCUGCCGGCUGAGAGUAAGGGUUUUCCCUUCAACCCAUAACCUGAUCUGGGUAAUGCCAGCGUAGGAAAUGAGUAGAUAAUCUAA